Molecule: ribosomal RNA, 312 nt
Filed under: uncultured bacterium
Lineage: Bacteria
Description: bacterial SSU rRNA
Rfam family: Bacterial small subunit ribosomal RNA
Source: RNAcentral
GAUGAACGCUAGCGGCAGGCUUAACACAUGCAAGUCGAGGGGCAGCGGGGAUGUAGCAAUACAUCUGCCGGCGACCGGCGCACGGGUGCGUAACGCGUAUGCAACCUACCUCAAACAGGGGCAUAACACUGAGAAAUUGGUACUAAUUCCCCAUAACAUCUUGGAGGGCAUCCUCCGAGGUUGAAAACUCCGGUGGUUUGAGAUGGGCAUGCGUUGUAUUAGCUAGUUGGUGAGGUAACGGCUCACCAAGGCGACGAUACAUAGGGGGACUGAGAGGUUAACCCCCCACAUUGGUACUGAGACACGGACCAA